RNAcentral lists this signal recognition particle RNA (103 nucleotides) under human gut metagenome. RNAcentral describes it as "Bacteroidales small SRP". It matches the Rfam family "Bacteroidales small SRP". From Rfam's summary of the family: The non-coding component of the signal recognition particle in Bacteroides RNAcentral also lists the same sequence under 1 other name. The record is from RNAcentral.
GCCCGGGUGAGUCCUGCACGACUUGCUCCCCGUGAAAUCCCCCAGGUCUUGACCGAAGCAAGGGUAGCGGGUUGAGCGGUGCGAUGCAGGUAGCUCGCCCACC